Molecule: ribosomal RNA, 498 nt
Filed under: uncultured bacterium
Lineage: Bacteria
Description: partial 16S ribosomal RNA
Rfam family: Bacterial small subunit ribosomal RNA
Source: RNAcentral
AGCGAACGCUGGCGGCGUGCCUAACACAUGCAAGUCGAACGUGAAAAGGGAAACCUGAGUAAAGUGGCGUACGGGUGAGUAACGCGUAGGUAAUCUACCCCAGAAUCUGGAAUAACCUGCCGAAAGGCGGGCUAAUACUGGAUAGAGCGAGGGAACUCGUAAGAGAGUUUUUCGGGAAAGGGAGCCCGCAAGGGCCUUCGUUCUGGGAUGAGCCUGCGUCUCAUUAGCUAGUUGGUAAGGUAACGGCUUACCAAGGCGAUGAUGAGUAGCUGGUCUGAGAGGAAGAUCAGCCACACUGGAACUGAAACACGGUCCAGACUCCUACGGGGGGCAGCAGUGGGGAAUCUUGCGCAAUGGACGAAAGUCUGACGCAGCCACGCCGCGUGAGUGAAGAAGGCCUUCGGGUUGUAAAGCUCUGUCGGAUGGGACGAACAUCUUCAUAGUGAAUAGCUAGGAGGACUGACGUUACCAACAAAGGAAGCACCGACUAACUCCGUG